Cerioporus squamosus is the source of this 123-nucleotide non-coding RNA. NCBI's taxonomy places the organism in Eukaryota, Fungi, Basidiomycota, Agaricomycetes, Polyporales, Polyporaceae. The record is from the annotation of a GenBank genome assembly.
GGCCGACUGGCCUAAUGGUUAAGGCGUCAGUUUCCGGUGUAGAGAAAUGCGAGGUCUCAGCGGCGGGGACCCGAACUCAAUGGUUUAAGCUGAAGAUUCUGGGUUCGAAUCCCAGGUUGGUCG